This 273-nucleotide long non-coding RNA is filed under the name Elaeis guineensis (African oil palm). RNAcentral describes it as "long non-coding RNA (EGUI_LNC015371)". The record is from RNAcentral. Lineage: Eukaryota; Viridiplantae; Streptophyta; Magnoliopsida; Arecales; Arecaceae.
GGCGUCGACUCUCAUGGAGACUUCAUCGAUUUUCUUUUUGGCCUUUUCUCUUGCUCUUUUGAGCAUCUUGGCUUUGAGCCUAGACUUCUUCGCCUCUUUGGCCAGCUCACAGGAACUUUCAAUGUUCCCGUUCAGGUAAUGGGCGAGCUGGUAAGCAAAGAAAAAUUCAUAAGUGAACAAUAAACAUACAGUAGGGGUGAAGUGAGAAAGUCCCAAUAUACCCAGAUGAGGCAAUCCACGGCUCCUUUACUCAUCUCCCUUCGAGCAACGUCC